Molecule: ribosomal RNA, 497 nt
Filed under: uncultured bacterium
Lineage: Bacteria
Description: partial 16S ribosomal RNA
Rfam family: Bacterial small subunit ribosomal RNA
Source: RNAcentral
GAUGAACGCUGGCGGCGUGCCUAAUACAUGCAAGUCGAGCGAACGGACGAGAAGCUUGCGCCCCUGCGGUUAGCGGGGGACGGGCGAGUAACACGUGGAUAACCUACCUAUAAGACUGGGAUAACUUCGGGAAACAGGUGCUAAUAACGGAUAAUACUUUGAACGGCAUGGUUCAAAAGUGAAUGACGGUCUUGCUGACACUUAUAGAUGGAUCCGCGCUGCAUUAGCUAGUUGGUAAGGUAACGGCUUACCAAGGCAACGAUGCAUAGCCGACCUGAGAGGGUGAUCAGCCACACUGGAACUGAGACACGGUCCAGACUCCUACGGGAGGCAGCAGUAGGGAAUAUUCCGCAAUGGGCGAAAGCCUGACGGAGCAACGCCGCGUGAGUGAUGAAGGUCUUCGGAUCGUAAAGCUCUGUUAUUAGGGAAGAACAGAUGUGUAAGUAACUGCGCCCGUCUUGACGGUACCUAAACAGAAAGCAACGGCUAACUUCGUG